UGAAAACAUAGAAUGCCCCACGUCACGUUCUUUUGCUUCUCUAUGAACCUAUAGCUAGAAAUCUUCAUUAUUGAAAGUGAUUGAAAUAGAAUCCUUGGCCGAAUUAUUGCAGCAUUCUUUUGACAAAAAUAAAAACUGAAUAGGAAAGAUGGCAAAAAGGAAGGCUUUACUAAAGCACAACAUUUUUUAUACACAACAUAGUGGACUAAUUUAAUCUUAACUACUAGUGCUACUCCUUUGAGAGAGAGAGAGAAUGAAGUUCUUGUUCCAGGGUCCAUGUUGUUCUUGUUUCUGCUUCAUGAAGCCACAGAAAGGCAAACCAAAAGCUAAAGUGGAAGAAGCCAAACCUAAAGAUAAGAAGGUGGAAGAAGCUAAAGCUAAGGAUAAGAAGGUGGAAGAAGCCAAACCUAAAGAAAAGAAGGCGGAAGAAGCCAAACCAAAAGAGAAGGAAGAAAGCAAACCAGAAUAAUGAUAGUAGAGGCAAUGGCAAAUGCAGCUAUAUUAUUCUAGUACAAGUAUUGUUCUUCAUUUACUUUACUGCUUGUUUAUGGUGUUUUCCAAUUUCCAUCCAUAUGGUGUGCAAUCUUUAACACUUUCUUUGGAAAACGCUAGUACUAUUUCUCCUCCUAAUGUAUUUUUAUAAGAAAAUAAUUUCACUUUAUUUACUCUGAAAGGCAAAAGUAAUACUUCUGUUGCUCGAAUUCUUAAAAAAUUGUCACUUCUAAAAAAUGCAUAACUUUUGCAAGAUCCUACACAUGCGACAAAUUUUUUGAAGGAUAUACUAAGUUAGUAGCUAUUUCAGUUUUAAUUAGGAUAGAUAAUAUGAAGAUUGACUAGGG
This 839-nucleotide long non-coding RNA is filed under the name Nicotiana tabacum (common tobacco). Its description in RNAcentral is "long non-coding RNA (NTAB_LNC003033)". The record is from RNAcentral. Lineage: Eukaryota; Viridiplantae; Streptophyta; Magnoliopsida; Solanales; Solanaceae.